Molecule: long non-coding RNA, 4872 nt
Filed under: Capsicum annuum
Lineage: Eukaryota; Viridiplantae; Streptophyta; Magnoliopsida; Solanales; Solanaceae
Description: long non-coding RNA (CANN_LNC003850)
Source: RNAcentral
UCUUCUUCAACUGCUGGUUCUUCAAAUUUUUCAGCUGCCGAUUCGUCAGGCUUUUCUUCAACUGAUGGUUCUUCAUGUUUUUCAUCGAAUGUUGGUUCUUCAACUGUAGAUUCUUCAGAUUUCUCCUCAACUGUUGGUUCCUCAGGUUUUUGGUCAACUACUGGUUCUUGAGGUUUAUCUUCAAUUGCUGGUUCUUCAGGUUUCUUUUCUAGUUCUUCACGUGUCUCUUUAACCACUGGAUCUUCAGGUGUUUCUUUCACCUCUUGUUUUUUGUGUUUCUCCUCAAUUGCUGGUUCUUGGGGUUUCUCUUCAAAUGUUUCUGCAAUUGCCAAUUUCUGAGGUUUCUCCUUUAUUGCUGGUUCUUCAGGUUUAUCCUCAACAAUUGGUUCUUCAAGCUUUUCCUCAACCAUUGGUUCUUCAAUUUUUUCCUCAACCAUUGGUUCUUCAGGUUUUUCCUCAACUCCUGGUUCUUCAGGUUUUUUCUCAACUGCUGGAUAGUCAACAACAUCAUUGUUGGUAUUGCAUGGAGUCUGAGUGUCAGACUUCCCGUUUGAAUCUAUAACUGACAUAUUCUGUAAGAAAAAUUUGAAGUUUCACUUAGUCUUCCAAUAGAUAAACAGAUGUGAAUUGUUGCACAUUCAGAGCUAAUAGUACAGGUAAAACUUGUGAGUACUUGAUCCUCACCUCUUCCAACAAAGUUACCUUUUCAGGCUUCGCUUCAACUUCAACUGCUAGUUUUUCAAGGUUCUUUUCAAUUGCUAGAUCUUUAGUUGUUUCUUCAACUGCUGGUUCUUCAGGUUUCUCUUCAAAUGUUAGUUCUUCAAGUGUUUCUUUCCAUGCUGGUCCUGCAAGUGUUUUUUCAACUACAAGCUCUUCAGAUUUCUCUUCAACUGUUGGUUCUUCAAGUUUCUCCUUGAAAACUGGUUCUUCAGUUUGUUUUUCCACUUCUGGUUCUUCAAGUUUCUCUUCAAUCACUUGUUUUUCAUGUUUUUCUUCAACUUCCAGUUCUUCAGCUGUUGGACAGUCAGCAACACCAUUGUUGGAAUUGCCUGGAAUUUCACUGUCAAUCUUGUCCUUUGAGUCUAUAAUUGACAUAUUCUGCAAGAAAAGUUUAAAAUUAGAUUUAAUAUUCAAUAGAUUGACAUAUGUGAGUGUGUUACACAUAUAAAGCUAUUAGAAUGGAUAAACUGUGACACUGUUUAAUCCUCACCUUCUCUAGGAGAGCUUCCGUUUCUAGUUUCUGCUCUUCAAUUACUGGGUUGUCGUGUUUCUCUUUAACAACUAGCUCUUCAAAGGUCUUUUCAACCAUUGGUUCUUCAGGUUUCUCUUCAAGUGCUAGCUCUCCAAGUGUUUCCUCCCCUGCUAGCUCUUCAUGUGUUUCUUUAGCUGUUGGUUCUUCAAGUUUUUCUUCAACAGUUGGUUCUUGAGGUUUCUCCUCAGCUGGUUUUUCAUAUUUCUCCUUAAUUGCUAGUGUAUCAAGUUUCUCUUCAAUAACUGGUCCUUCAGGUUUUUCUACAACUGCUGGUUCUUCAGGGUCUUUCUCAACUUCUUGAAAGUGAGCAUCAUCAUCGUUAGUAUUGCAUGGAAUUUCACAGUCAGUUUUGUCCUUUGAGUCCGCAACUAGCAAAUUCUGCAAGAAGAAUUAAAAGUUUCACUUAGUCUUUUAGUAGAUAAAGCAGAUGUGAAUCAUUGCACAUACAUAAAUAAUAGGAUGGAUAAACUUAUGACAGUGCUUGACCCUCGCCUUAUCCAAAAGAGUUACCUUUUCAAGUUUCUCCUCUUCAACUGUUGGGUUUUCAGGUUUCUCCUCUUCAACUACUGGUUUGUCAGUUUUUUCUUCAAAUGCUAGUUCAUUAGGUGUUUCUUCCCGUUUUGAUUCCUUGAGUGUUUCUUCAGUUUUUGGUUUUUCAGGUUUCUCUUCAACCAUUGGUUCUUCAAGUUUCUCCUCCACAGUUGUUUUUUCAUGUUUCUCUUCAACUGCCAGAUCUUCAAGUUCUCUCUCAACUGUUGGUUCUUCAGGCUUCUCCAUAACCGCCAAUACUUCAGGCUUCUCUUCAAUUGUUGUUUCUUCAUGUUCUUUUUCAACUACUGGUUCUUGAGAUUUUUCCUUGACUGAUUCAUAGUCAGCAAUAUCAUUGGUGGUAUUGCAUGACAUUACAUAAUCUAUCUUGUCCUUUGAGUCUACAAUUGGAAAAUGCUGCAAGAAAAUUUAAAAGUUUUACUUAGUCUUUCAACAGAUAAACAUAUGUAAAUCCGUUGCACAUAUAAAGCUAAUAUGAUGGAUAAAUUUUGUGACAAUGUUUAAUUCUGACCUUCUCUAGAAGAGCUCCGGUUUCAGGUUUCUCCACUUCAACAACUAGUUCUUUAGGUGUCUUUUCAACCGUUGCUUCUUCAGGUUUCUCUUCAAGUGCUAGUUCUUCAGCUGUUUCCUCCCCCUCUAACUCUUCAGGUGUUUUUUUAGCUGUUCGUUCUUCAGAUUUCUCUUCAGCCGCAGGUUCUUGAGGUUUCUCUUCAAAUGGUAAUUCAAAUUUCUCCUCAACCGAUGGUUCUUCAAAUUUCUCUUGAAUAACUGGUUCUUCAGGUUUUUCUUCAACUGCUGAUUCUUCAAGAUUUUCUUCAACAUUUAAAGAUUGAGCAACAUCAUUACUGGUAUUGCAUGGAAUUUCACUGCCAUUUUUGCUGUUCAAGUCUACAACUAGCAUAUUCUGCAAAAGAGUUUAAUGUUUCACUUAGUCUUUCAAUAAAGAAGCAGACGUGAAUCAUUUCACAUACAUAACUAAUAAUAUGGAUAGCUAAUAAUAUGGAUUAACUUUUAUGACAGAUUUUCCACAAGAGCUACCUUUUCAGGUUUCUCCUCUUCAAGUGAUGGUUUCUCUUCAAAUGAUAGUUCAUUAGGCGUUUCUUCCUGUGUUGGUUUUUCAUGUGCUUCUUCAGUUACUGGUUUUUCAGGUUUCUCCUUAGUUGUUGGUUCUUCGCUUGUCUCCUCAGCUGAUUGUUCUUCAAGCUUCUCUCCUGUUGUUGAUUUUUCUGGUUUCUCUUCAAUUAUCGGUGGUUCAGGUUUUUUCUCAACCGGUGAUUCUUCUGGUUUCUCCAAAACCAUUGAUUCUUCAUGUUUUUUUUCAACUACUGACUCUUCAGUGUUUUCCUCAACUGAUGCAUAGUCAGCAAUAUCGUUGUUGGUAUUGCUUGGAAUUGCAUUGUCUAUCUUGUCCUUUGAGUUUACUUUUGGCAUAUUCUGCAAUGAAGUUUCACGUAGUCUUUCAAUAGAUAAACAAAUGUAAAUUUGUUGCACAUAUAAAAGCUAAUAUGAUGGAUAAAAUUUGUGCCAGUGUUUAAUCCUCACCUUCUCCUGAAGAGCUUCCGCUUCAAGUUCCUCCUCUUCAAUUGCAGGUUUUUCAUCUUUCUCUCCAACAACUAGUUCUUCAGGUUUCUCUUCAAGUGCCAGUUCUUCAGGUGUUUCCUCCUUUGCCAGCUCUUCAGGUGUUUCCUCCUUUGCCAGCUCUUCAGGUGUUUCUUUAGCUGCCGGUUCUUCAGGUUUCUCUUCAACCUCCGGUUCUUGUGGUAUUUCCUCUACUUGUACUUCAGAUUUCUCCUCAAUUGUUGGUUCUUCAGGUUUCUCUCUAACCGCUGCUGCAUUAGGUUUCUCUUCAUUGGCUGGUUCUUCAGGUUUUUCUUCAACUACCGAUUCUUCAGGAUUUUCCUCAAUGUUUGGAAAGGGAGCGACAUCAUUAUUGGUAUUGCAUGGAAUUUCACUGCCAGUUUUGUCAUUCAAGUCCACAACUAGUAUAUUCUGCAAAAGAGUUUAAUGUUUCACUUAGUCUUUCAAUAAAGAAGCAGAUGCGAAUCAUUACAUAUACAUAACUAAUAACAUGGAUAAACUUUAUGACAGUAGUUGACCCUUACCUUUUCCACAAGAGUUACUUUUGCAGGUUUCUCCUCUUCAAGUGCUGGUUUCUCUUCAAAUGAUAGUUCAUUAGGUGUUUCUUCCCGUGUUGGUUCUUCAUGUGCUUCUUCAGUUACUGGUUUUUCAGGUUUCUCCUCAAUUGUUGGUUCUUCGCUUGUCUUCUCAACUGAUGGUUCCUCAUGCUUCUCUCCCGUUGUUGAUUUUUCGGGUUUCUCUUCAGUUGUCGAUGGUUCAGUUUUUUUCUCAACCGCUGGUUCUUUUGGCUUCUCCAAAACCAUUUCCGAUUUCUCUUCAGUUGGUGGUUCUUCAUGGUUUUUUUCAACUACUGGUUCUUCUCUUUUUUCCUCAACUGAUGCAUAGUCAGCAAUAUCGUUGUUGGUAUUGCUUGGAAUUGCAUUGUCUGUCUUGUCCUUUGAGCUUACAAUUGGCAUAUUCUGCUAGAAAAAUAUAAAGUUUCAUGUAGUCUUUCAACAGAGAAACCAAUGUAAAUUUGUUGCACAUAUAAAGCUAACAAAUAUGAUGGAUAGACUUUGCGAGAGUGUUUAAUACUCACCUUCUCCGGAAGAGCUUCCGUUUCAGGUUCCUCUUCAAUUUCUGCUUUUUCAUCUUUCUCUUCAACAACUAGUUCUUCAGGUGUCUCUUCAACCGUUGAUUCUUCAGGUUUCUCUUCAAGUGUUAGUUCUUGAGGUGUUUCCUCCUUUGCUAGCUCUUCAGGUGUUUCUGUAACUGCCGGUUCUUCAGGUUCCUCUUCAGCCACCGGCUGUUGACGUAUCUCCUCUACUUGUACUUCAGAUUUCUCCUCAAUUGUUGGUUCUUCAGGUUUCUCCUUAACCGCUGGUACAUCAGGUUUAUCCUCAUUGACUGGUUCUUCAACUGCUGAUUCUUCUAGAUUUUCCUCAAUGUCUGGAAAGCGAGCAACAUCAUUAUUGGUAUUGCAUGGAAUUUCAUUUCCAGUUUCGUUAUUCGAG